This 480-nucleotide ribosomal RNA is filed under the name uncultured bacterium. RNAcentral's name for it is "partial 16S ribosomal RNA". It matches the Rfam family "Bacterial small subunit ribosomal RNA", at positions 354 to 826 of the family's 1533-position model. The record is from RNAcentral.
UGGGGGAAUUUUGGACAAUGGGCGAAAGCCUGAUCCAGCAAUGCCGCGUGUGUGAAGAAGGCCUUCGGGUUGUAAAGCACUUUUGUCCGGAAAGAAAUCCUUGGCUCUAAUACAGUCGGGGGAUGACGGUACCGGAAGAAUAAGCACCGGCUAACUACGUGCCAGCAGCCGCGGUAAUACGUAGGGUGCAAGCGUUAAUCGGAAUUACUGGGCGUAAAGCGUGCGCAGGCGGUUUGCUAAGACCGAUGUGAAAUCCCCGGGCUCAACCUGGGAACUGCAUUGGUGACUGGCAGGCUAGAGUAUGGCAGAGGGGGGUAGAAUUCCACGUGUAGCAGUGAAAUGCGUAGAGAUGUGGAGGAAUACCGAUGGCGAAGGCAGCCCCCUGGGCCAAUACUGACGCUCAUGCACGAAAGCGUGGGGAGCAAACAGGAUUAGAUACCCUGGUAGUCCACGUGUAAAACGAUGUCGAUUUUGGAGGUU